UCGAGAUAGAGAAACAAACAUGCCCAAGGACACGAAGGACUUGAUCCUUAGUGCACGUGUCGGAGUAGGAUAGGCUAUGUGAUCUUUUGUGUUUGGUUUUGCGGGAAAAAAAAUCAUUCGCGACCUUUGCCGAGAAAAAAAAUCAGAGCUCGAAACGAAAAGGCGAUUUACGAUCCAUCGAAGAUCGUUUUCUUCCGUGAUCUUAAAGGUAGCCGAACGAUGGGACAAGACUAUAGCUACACUCAGCCUUCAUCAUCAGAGGAGUUUGACAUGACCUCUUUACUUUAAGAAGAAGCUGAUCUCUACGCGGAUGAAGCUGAUCUUAUUGAUUAAAAAAACAAAAACUUACACAUAAUUUGAUCUUGUAAAUACAAAAAAAUAAAACUUAUACAUAAUUUUAUAGUAUUAAAAAAAGAAAUUAUAGGUAA
Raphanus sativus (radish) is the source of this 428-nucleotide long non-coding RNA. RefSeq lists it as uncharacterized. The record is from RefSeq and is a predicted model, not a curated record. The transcript has 2 exons. NCBI's taxonomy places the organism in Eukaryota, Viridiplantae, Streptophyta, Magnoliopsida, Brassicales, Brassicaceae.